GCCGGAGUGGCGGAAUAGGCAGACGCAAGGGACUUAAAAUCCCUCGGGUGAAUAGCCCGUGUGGGUUCGAUUCCCACCUCCGGCACCA
Molecule: transfer RNA, 88 nt
Filed under: Candidatus Bathyarchaeota archaeon
Lineage: Archaea; Thermoproteati; Candidatus Bathyarchaeota
Also listed under: 3 other names
Description: tRNA-Leu
Rfam family: tRNA
About the family: Transfer RNA (tRNA) molecules are approximately 80 nucleotides in length. Their secondary structure includes four short double-helical elements and three loops (D, anti-codon, and T loops).
Source: RNAcentral